UACGGGGGGGGCAAGCGUUGUUCGGAAUUACUGGGCGUAAAGGGCGCGUAGGCGGUGCUCUAAGUCGGAUGUGAAAGCUCUGGGCUCAACCCAGAGCCUGCAUCCGAAACUGGAGUGCUAGAGUUCUGGAGGGGGUAGCGGAAUUCCUGGUGUAGCGGUGAAAUGCGUAGAUAUCAGGAGGAACACCGGUGGCGAAGGCGGCUACCUGGACAGAAACUGACGCUGAGGUGCGAAAGCGUGGGGAGCAAACAGG
This 253-nucleotide ribosomal RNA is filed under the name uncultured bacterium. RNAcentral describes it as "partial 16S ribosomal RNA". It matches the Rfam family "Bacterial small subunit ribosomal RNA", at positions 524 to 776 of the family's 1533-position model. The record is from RNAcentral.